Molecule: ribosomal RNA, 546 nt
Filed under: Colletotrichum sp. 2 ONH-2014
Lineage: Eukaryota; Fungi; Ascomycota; Sordariomycetes; Glomerellales; Glomerellaceae
Description: eukaryotic LSU rRNA
Rfam family: 5.8S ribosomal RNA (bases 193-346)
Source: RNAcentral
UACCUGCGGAGGGAUCAUUACUGAGUUUACGCUCUACAACCCUUUGUGAACAUACCUAUAACUGUUGCUUCGGCGGGUAGGGUCUCCGUGACCCUCCCGGCCUCCCGCCCCCGGGCGGGUCGGCGCCCGCCGGAGGAUAACCAAACUCUGAUUUAACGACGUUUCUUCUGAGUGGUACAAGCAAAUAAUCAAAACUUUUAACAACGGAUCUCUUGGUUCUGGCAUCGAUGAAGAACGCAGCGAAAUGCGAUAAGUAAUGUGAAUUGCAGAAUUCAGUGAAUCAUCGAAUCUUUGAACGCACAUUGCGCCCGCCAGCAUUCUGGCGGGCAUGCCUGUUCGAGCGUCAUUUCAACCCUCAAGCUCUGCUUGGUGUUGGGGCCCUACAGCUGAUGUAGGCCCUCAAAGGUAGUGGCGGACCCUCCCGGAGCCUCCUUUGCGUAGUAACUUUACGUCUCGCACUGGGAUCCGGAGGGACUCUUGCCGUAAAACCCCCCAAUUUUCCAAAGGUUGACCUCGGAUCAGGUAGGAAUACCCGCUGAACUUAAG